CUAAAAGUCUAUUGUCCAUUUGCCACUGUAUGCCGAGUUAACAUCGCCUUGCUAAACUGCUUUCUUUGCUCUAGGGAACCGUUGAAAAUAUAGCUGUUAUACGGAGGAGCAAACAUUUUUUAUCCAAGUGAUGUGAGUCCUCCGAACCUGAUGAUGUGACAGUCACGUCCAUGGCCUAAAAUUUUAUUGUGGCCUCUAUGGCAGUGAAACAGUGACUAGCUUGUGCUUAUCGUAAUUGCCAGCAACCCAGCACAAGAAUAGCUCUUCUCUGCGGAAUGCUCUCUCUGUCAGAUCUAAAGGUCAGGAUUAUUUUAAAAGGCAGCUCUUGAACUGCUUGUUUAAUUUUCUGCAUUUGGAUAUUUAAACUCUGUGAUUCCACAGAAGUAUACCAGGCGCUAACUGAUGCAACUCUCCACAGCAAGCUUGAAAAGAAGCACUUUCAAAAGAACAAACUGCAAAGUGAUAUUCCUAAUUUCCUUGUUUCUUUGUUACCAUAAUUGUCCUAAGAACAGGCGCCACAUUGUAUAUCUGUAUUUGUAAGACGUUGAACAUCACUUGGUUUAGAGGUAAUGUUUCAAUCAAUGCACUCCAAAACC
Pelobates cultripes (western spadefoot toad) is the source of this 596-nucleotide non-coding RNA. Lineage: Eukaryota; Metazoa; Chordata; Amphibia; Anura; Pelobatidae. The record is from the annotation of a GenBank genome assembly.